RNAcentral lists this long non-coding RNA (361 nucleotides) under Vulpes vulpes (red fox). Its description in RNAcentral is "lncRNA (ENSVVUG00000000426.1)". The record is from RNAcentral. Lineage: Eukaryota; Metazoa; Chordata; Mammalia; Carnivora; Canidae.
GCGGCGGCGGCGGCGGCGGCCCGGAGCCCCCGAGCCCCCGGCAGGUGCGCCUGCCCUUCCCCGCGAUCUGAUUGGAUACAGUGGGGGCUCGACGGUGGCCGCCGUGGGACAGUGCGGCGGCGGCAGGGGUCUCGGAAACCAUGGGUUAUUGCAGCGGCAGGUGCACGCUCAUCUUCAUCUGUGGCAUGCAACUGAUGGGAUGCUGAGGAAGAGAAGGAGAGAGGGAAGGAGAAGAAGGAAGAGAGGAAUAGAGAGAGCGGGACAGAGGGCAGGAGGAGAAAGAAAUAGACCAAGCAGACACAGCAGAAGGUAGGGAGGGGAUGUUUUUGGGGGUCCAGGUUAUUAUUUGUUGAUGGUGGUC